RNAcentral lists this small nuclear RNA (106 nucleotides) under Carlito syrichta (Philippine tarsier). The record is from RNAcentral. Lineage: Eukaryota; Metazoa; Chordata; Mammalia; Primates; Tarsiidae.
AUCUUGCAUUGGCAGGACAUAUACUAAAUCUGAGACACUACAGAGAAGAUUAGUAUGGCCUCUUUCCAAGCAUGAGAGGUAAAUUCAUGAAGUGUUUCAUAUUUAA